AAGAGAAAAUAGAAUCCAACAACAACAUAGUGGGCCUCAACUACAUAUUAGGCCCAUGAUUGAGUUGGACGGUUUAUAUUUGACCCUACCAGUCCUAAUUCUAAACAAAUUCUCCCUCCUCUUUUCCUCAUUCUUCUUCACGAAAUUUUGAUUUCAUCGAUCGAUCGAUCGAUCUGAUUCUUCAAUCUUCUUCUUUCACCUUCACUACCAUGGAUAAAACAAAGUUAACAAGAUUAGCUAUUGCUUCUCGUCUAUUAGAACAUCUAAAUCGUGUUGAUCUAACGGAAAUGGGGUCCUUAGUGUUAAAUGCAAUACAUAUGGACAACCCAUCAUAGGCUGCUUCUUGAUCAGAGAGAUGUAUUUAUUUUGAAAGAAGUCGAUGGCUACUCAGUAUUCUGCGAUUGUCCAUCGUAAUGCUUAUGUUUUCAUAAUAAUCUAUCUUAUGCUUUUAGACAAUUAAAUUAUUAGGCCAUAAUAAAGAUAUGUUGGACAAUGAUUUUCUGCGUAAACAGGCUCUCAUGUAAAGUUGUAAUUCUGAGAUGACACUAAGGCAGCUUGGUAUGUAUAAAUUGGCCACUAUUGACGUGAACGGGAAGACCUUUAGGAUCAUUUUUUUUUCCUUUUCUUUUUGUAGCC
Molecule: long non-coding RNA, 636 nt
Filed under: Aquilegia coerulea
Lineage: Eukaryota; Viridiplantae; Streptophyta; Magnoliopsida; Ranunculales; Ranunculaceae
Description: long non-coding RNA (ACOE_LNC000127)
Source: RNAcentral